GCGCAGCCCAACACCGGCCGGCGAAAAGGUUCGGUCGCCUUGCCAAGUGUUGUCACCUUGCUCCUCACCUCAUGCUCCACGUUCUUCCCGAACCCUCCACCGCCUCGUUAAUACACUACCGUCCCGGGCGGCGGCCCUAGCUCGGCAACGGCAGCGCAGCCAUUAAAUUCUUUCCCGAGCGAUUGAUUUCGUGGAGUAGGAUAGGAGUAAAACCGAUCCAGCGCGUGCGUGCGUGUGUGGUGUUUGUUGGUCGGCGGCGAUGGACCAGGCGCAGCGCGAGAGCAGCCUGAGGUCCUACGGGUCGACCAGGUCGCUGUCCCGGUCGGGCGAGCAGGACCUGCUGUCGGACCCCGGCGAGCGGCGGGAGGUGGUCGUCAAGAUCGACGGCAACGGCAACGGACCCGCGCCCUUCUCCAUCUCCGGCCCCGUUCCCGGCGCGGACGUCGGCGCGCCGGCGGCGGCGGGGAAUGCGACCUCGAACGCCGCCACCUCGACGAAGCCGAGCAGGAAGCUGUCGAGCGCCGGCAGCUCGCCCACCAAGGGCUGGGACGACGGGACCUACGACUUCUGGAAGAACGAGGGCGGCGGGAAAGGGGGCGCCCCCGCGCGCCGCGUCGAGGACUUCAGCUUCAAGAACCGGCCGGCGAAGCCGCCGCCCUCGUCGCCGCCACUGUCCCCCUCGCUCGCGCCAACACAGCCCAACGCCGCCGCCGCGGCGGCGGCGGAGGGCGGCAGCGAGGACCCGCCCACGCGCCUCAUCGGGAACUUCCUCCGGAAGCAGAUGGCGUCCGGCGCCGAGCUCUCGCUCGACCUCGACCUGGAGAUGGAGGAGGACAUCGGGCGGUCGUCCUCGCAGCCGUCCAUGUCCCGCGACCGGGAGGCCGCGCGCGUUUCCUUCAAGGACCACAAGAGCUCCUCCUCGUCCUCUUCCUCCGACUCAGACGACGCCGGCGGGCGCCGCAGCCGCAGGCGCGGCGCCGAUGAUAGCGAGGUGAUACGCGGCCCCAACACGUCCACCCCGGCCGGAGCGGGGCCGCUGCUGCGCGCCAAGACGCGCUCCCGGCUCAUGGACCCGCCGCCGCAGUCGCCCGUGUCAGCGCGCGCCGUCGACGAGGAGCCGCGCAAGUCGUCCGCCCUGCGGCCGCCCAAGUCCGGCCAGUUCCCUUCGGGCCGCAUGACCGGCAGGUCCGGCCAGUUCCCUUCGGGGCGCAAGACCGGCAACAAGUCCGGCGCCGUCGGCAAGUCGGGCCCCAUGGAGGAGGAGGAGGACGACCCCUUCAUCGACGACGACAUCCCCGACGACUUCAAGCGCGGGAAGCUGGACACGCUCACCAUACUGCAGUGGAUCAGCCUGGUGCUCAUCAUCGGGGCGCUGGUCUGCAGCCUCACCAUCAAGAGGCUGGCCACGAAGAAGCUCUGGGAGCUGCACCUCUGGAAGUGGGAGCUCCUCGUCUUCGUGCUCAUCUGCGGCCGCCUCGUCUCCGGCUGGGUCAUCCGGAUCGCCGUCUUCUGCGUCGAGCGCAACUUCGUGCUGCGGAAGCGCGUGCUCUACUUCGUCUACGGCGUGCGCGGCGCCGUGCAGAACGCGCUCUGGCUCGGCCUGGUGCUCGCAUCCUGGCACUUCCUCUUCGACGAGAACGUCCCGACCAAAACGCUGGUGCUGCCCUAUGUCACAAAGAUACUCUUCUGCUUGCUCGUCGCCACGCUCAUCCGGCUUGUCAAGACGCUGCUGCUCAAGGUGCUCGCCUCCUCCUUCCAUGUCUCAACAUACUUUGAUCGGAUUCAAGAGGCGUUGUUCAACCAAUAUGUCGUCGAGACGCUCUCCGGGCCGCAGCUAGUCGACGAAGACUACGUGCUCGCCGAGGUGCGUGAGCUCCAACGCGCAGGCGCAACCAUCCCGAAAGAGCUCCGUGCCGCCUUGCCAGCCAAGAACCUAUCAGGGCAGAGGAGCAUCCGGAUCUCGGGUUUGAUUUCAAAAGGAGAAGGAAGCAGUCAGCUGUCAAAGGAGAAAAAACAGCGUGAGCUUGAUGAAGGGAUCACCAUUGACAAGCUCCAUAGGCUCAAUCAGAAGAAUGUUUCAGCAUGGAACAUGAAGAGGCUGAUGAAGAUUGUUCGGUUUGGGACGCUCACCACAAUGGAUGAGCAGAUUCAGCAGGCAACAGGAGAUGGGGAUGAGUCAGGGACACAGAUUCGCAGUGAAUAUGAGGCCCAAGUGGCCGCCAAGAAGAUCUUCCAGAAUGUAGCCAAGCCUGGAUCCAAGUACAUAUACUUGGCAGACCUGAUGCGCUUCAUGAGGCAGGAGGAAGCCAUCAAAGCUAUGCAUCUUUUUGAAGGAGCGCAGGAGCACUGUAGGGUCAGCAAGAGGUCUCUCAAGAACUGGGUGGUGAAUGCAUUUAGAGAGCGCAAAGCUCUUGCCUUAACACUUAACGACACAAAAACUGCAGUUAACAAGCUCAGCCAGAUGGGCAAUGUUGUCGUUGGCCUCAUUGUGUUUGCUCUCUGGCUUCUUAUUCUUGGCAUAGCGACGACGCAUUUCUUCGUCUUCAUCAGCUCGCAGCUUCUCGUGGCAGUCUUUGUGUUUGGGAAUACCAUGAAGACGAUCUUUGAGGCCAUUAUUUUCUUGUUUGUGAUGCAUCCUUUCGACGUGGGUGACCGCUGUGAAAUUGAAGAAGUACAGGUCGUUGUGGAGGAGAUGAACAUCAUGACAACUGUCUUUCUCCGAUACGAUAAUCUAAAGAUCUAUUACCCAAACAGUGUACUGGCUACCAAGCCGAUUUUCAAUUUCUACAGGAGUCCUGAUAUGGGAGAAGGGGUCGACUUCUCUAUUCAUGUUGCCACACCUGUGGAAAAACUGGCCCUCAUGAAGGAAAGAAUAUUACGUUACAUUGACUCCAAGAAGGAACAUUGGUACCCCGGCGCGAUGGUUGUCCUACGAGACGUUGACGACACCAACAAGCUGAAAGUAUCCAUCUGGCUCCGACACACGCUCAACUUCCAGGACAUGGGGAUGAGAUUCGUGAGGAGGGAGCUGGUGCUGCAGGAGAUGAUCAGGGUCCUGAAGGACCUCGACAUCGAGUACCGGAUGUUGCCACUUGACGUGAACGUGAGGAACGCGCCCCCUCUUCAGUCCACGAGGAUGCCGACGACAUGGAACUACUCCUGAAGCAGCUCUGGAUGCGCCGAGAAUAGCUUGUGAGAAACCGCAGAUACAGGAGUUAGCUUCCUCGUCUUGUGGUGAGAGCUGCAGGAGCCUGGUAGUAGCUAGCAGGUAGCAGAUAGACACAUAGAGUGAACAUUGGUGCGGUCCGCAGUGAAUGUGUUCUUUAGUAUGAGAAACUCUUGGUACAACUCUUCAGUGUAUCUGUGUAUGGAGGACCGCGACCUUUUUACAGAGAUCUAUAUGGUUGGAGGACACGCCAAAAGAAUUUAUUACCCAACAUGGGUGACACCAUAGCUUAGGGUUUCCUCCACCUCCAUAGGUAUCAUGUGUGUUUACAUGUGUUGGGUCUUUUAUUCCUUUUUGUAACCAAA
This is a non-coding RNA of Lolium perenne, 3531 nucleotides long. NCBI's taxonomy places the organism in Eukaryota, Viridiplantae, Streptophyta, Magnoliopsida, Poales, Poaceae. The record is from RefSeq and is a predicted model, not a curated record.